UACGGAGGGUGCGAGCGUUGUCCGGAAUCAUUGGGCGUAAAGGGCGCGUAGGUGGCGGCUUAAGCGUGCGGUGAAAGCUCGGGGCUCAACCCCCGAGUCGGCCGUGCGAACUGAGUCGCUUGAGCACUGUAGAGGCAGGCGGAAUUCCGGGUGUAGCGGUGGAAUGCGUAGAGAUCCGGAAGAACACCGGUGGCGAAGGCGGCCGCUGGGCAGUAGCUGACACUGAGGCGCGACACGUGGGGGAGCAAACAGGG
Molecule: ribosomal RNA, 254 nt
Filed under: uncultured bacterium
Lineage: Bacteria
Description: partial 16S ribosomal RNA
Rfam family: Bacterial small subunit ribosomal RNA
Source: RNAcentral